CCUACGGGUGGCAGCAGUGAGGAAUAUUGGUCAAUGGGCGGGAGCCUGAACCAGCCAAGUCGCGUGAGGGAAGACGGUCCUAUGGAUUGUAAACUUCUUUAGGCGGGGAGUAAUGCCGGGCAUGCGUGCCCGGAGGGAGAGUACCCGUAGAAUAAGCAUGGGCAAACCCGGUCCCGGCGGCGGCGGUAUUCCGGGGGAUGCGAGCGUUAUCCGGUUUUAUGGGGUUUAAGGGGUGCGCAGGGGGAUGUUAAAGUAGGCGGUAAAGUGUCCGGGCUAAACCCGGGACGGCCGUUGAAACUGGGGAUCUUGAGUGGGCGAGAGGUAUGCGGAAUGCGUGGUGUAGCGGUGAAAUGCAUAGAUAUCACGAAGAACUCCGAUUGCGAAGGCAGCAUACCGGCGCCCAACUGACGCUGAGGCACGAAAGCGUGGGGAUCGAACAGGAUUAGAUACCCGGGUAGUC
This 460-nucleotide ribosomal RNA is filed under the name uncultured bacterium. RNAcentral's name for it is "partial 16S ribosomal RNA". It matches the Rfam family "Bacterial small subunit ribosomal RNA", at positions 338 to 795 of the family's 1533-position model. The record is from RNAcentral.